This 29-nucleotide non-coding RNA is filed under the name Homo sapiens (human). The record is from RNAcentral. Lineage: Eukaryota; Metazoa; Chordata; Mammalia; Primates; Hominidae.
UGUUGAAGUAGAUGUCUUCUUGGUGGGUU